GGAAGAGGGAGCAGAGAGCUGAAAAACUGCACAGUUACAGCACAGAGGGUUUUACUGAGCGUGACACAACCCUGAGAAGGACACUCAUCCAUGUAAAUAAUAUGGCAUCCAUCAACAAACACAAACAGGUCAGUGGAAACAAGGAGAAGAUGGAUGGCGCCGACAAAACGAGAGUAUCUUAACACCGUUCUGCUUCUUAAGACUUGAUCGGACCCUCCCAUCUCACAUAGGAUGUCCUCAACAAGCACAUCAUGCAGAUCUGUGGCUGACAAACAGUGAAUUACGAGGCUUCAGGGAGUAUGACAGUGCCAGAGUGGAAGAGAAAGACGGAAGAUAUUCAA
Gymnodraco acuticeps is the source of this 341-nucleotide long non-coding RNA. RefSeq lists it as uncharacterized. The record is from RefSeq and is a predicted model, not a curated record. The transcript has 3 exons. Lineage: Eukaryota; Metazoa; Chordata; Actinopteri; Perciformes; Bathydraconidae.